RNAcentral lists this ribosomal RNA (468 nucleotides) under uncultured bacterium. RNAcentral describes it as "partial 16S ribosomal RNA". It matches the Rfam family "Bacterial small subunit ribosomal RNA", at positions 28 to 507 of the family's 1533-position model. The record is from RNAcentral.
GAUGAACGCUGGCGGCGUGCUUAACACAUGCAAGUCGAACGGAAAGGCCCAAACUUGCUUGGGUUCUCGAGUGGCGAACGGGGGAGUAACACGUGGGUGAUCUGCCCUGCACUUCGGGAUAAGCCUGGGAAACUGGGUCUAAUACCGGAUAGGACGAUGGUUUCGAUGCCAUUGUGGAAAGUUUUUUCGGUGUGGGAUGAGGUCGCGGCGUAUCAGCUUGUUGGUGGGGUAGUGGCGUACCAGGGCGGCGACGGGUAGCCGGCCCGCGAGAGUGUAGGGACGCAUUAGACUUCUAAGGCAGGCAGCAGUCGGACAGGUGGCAGAAGGGGGGAAUGUUGGACACAGGGAGACAGCGUGAGGGAGGAAGGCCGUCGGGUGGUAAAGGGCUUUUGGGGGGUAAGAACAUUUGGCUAGGGACGAAGCGUUGUUGUGACGGUACCUGAAGAAGAAGCACCGGCUAACUACGUG